This 470-nucleotide ribosomal RNA is filed under the name Mesobacillus boroniphilus. Its description in RNAcentral is "bacterial SSU rRNA". It matches the Rfam family "Bacterial small subunit ribosomal RNA", at positions 394 to 855 of the family's 1533-position model. The record is from RNAcentral. Lineage: Bacteria; Bacillati; Bacillota; Bacilli; Caryophanales; Bacillaceae.
ACGCCGCGUGAACGAUGAAGGCCUUCGGGUCGUAAAGUUCUGUUGUCAGGGAAGAACAAGUACCGGAGUAACUGCCGGUACCUUGACGGUACCUGACCAGAAAGCCACGGCUAACUACGUGCCAGCAGCCGCGGUAAUACGUAGGUGGCAAGCGUUGUCCGGAAUUAUUGGGCGUAAAGCGCGCGCAGGCGGUUCCUUAAGUCUGAUGUGAAAGCCCCCGGCUCAACCGGGGAGGGUCAUUGGAAACUGGGGAACUUGAGUGCAGAAGAGGAGAGCGGAAUUCCACGUGUAGCGGUGAAAUGCGUAGAGAUGUGGAGGAACACCAGUGGCGAAGGCGGCUCUCUGGUCUGUAACUGACGCUGAGGCGCGAAAGCGUGGGGAGCGAACAGGAUUAGAUACCCUGGUAGUCCACGCCGUAAACGAUGAGUGCUAAGUGUUAGAGGGUUUCCGCCCUUUAGUGCUGCAGCAAA